Molecule: ribosomal RNA, 492 nt
Filed under: uncultured bacterium
Lineage: Bacteria
Description: partial 16S ribosomal RNA
Rfam family: Bacterial small subunit ribosomal RNA
Source: RNAcentral
AGUGAACGCUGGCGGUAGGCCUAACACAUGCAAGUCGAACGGCAGCACAGUAAGAGCUUGCUCUUACGGGUGGCGAGUGGCGGACGGGUGAGGAAUACAUCGGAAUCUACUUUUUCGUGGGGGAUCACGUAGGGAAACUUACGCUAAUACCGCAUACGACCUACGGGUGAAAGCAGGGGAUCUUCGGACCUUGCGCGAUUGAAUGAGCCGAUGUCGGAUUAGCUAGUUGGCGGGGUAAAGGCCCACCAAGGCGACGAUCCGUAGCUGGUCUGAGAGGAUGAUCAGCCACACUGGAGCUGAGACACGGUCCAGACUCCUACGGGAGGCAGCAGUGGGGAAUAUUGGACAAUAGGCGCAAGCCUGAUCCAGUCAUACCGCGUGGGUGAAGAAGGCCUUCGGGUUGUAAAGCCCUUUUGUUGGGAAAGAAAAGCAGCAGGUUAAUACCCCGCUGUUCUGACGGUACCCAAAGAAUAAGCACCGGCUAACUUCGUG